RNAcentral lists this transfer RNA (63 nucleotides) under Typhlatya galapagensis. RNAcentral describes it as "tRNA-Ala". The record is from RNAcentral. Lineage: Eukaryota; Metazoa; Arthropoda; Malacostraca; Decapoda; Atyidae.
AAAAUUAUAAUCAACUAUGAUAUUUGAGUUGCAUUCAAAAGGUGCUUAUUUAAGCUAAUUUUA